This 448-nucleotide long non-coding RNA is filed under the name Salvia miltiorrhiza (redroot sage). RNAcentral's name for it is "long non-coding RNA (SMIL_LNC005608)". The record is from RNAcentral. Lineage: Eukaryota; Viridiplantae; Streptophyta; Magnoliopsida; Lamiales; Lamiaceae.
UCCCUUUCCACUUCAACCACCCCAAGGCCACCAGAUCUAUGCUCUCCACAAGUUGAAUCCGACAACUCCAAGUUAGAAUCGAGAGCGAGAGAUAGACAGAGGUGUCGCGGUGGUGGUGGUUGUGCGGCGCUGCCGCUGCGAUUGCCGGAGAUCUACCACCGCAACUGCGGCUGCGUUUCUCCACAAAUUGAAUCCGACGACUCCAAGUCAGAAUCGAGAGAAAGAGAUAGAAAGAGGCGUCGCGGUGGUGGUGGCUAUGCGGCGCUGCCGCUGCGAUUGCCGGAGAUUGAGUGGCGGCGGCGCGGCAGACGGGCGGCGACAGGGAGAGGGAGAGGGAGCGUGAGAGAGAGAGAGAGUACAGCGAUAGAGAGAUGGCGGAGGCGACGAGGCCGAGGCGGCGCCGCUUCGCCGGCGAUCUGAGCUCGAAGGGAGGGAGGGAGAGAAAGAG